UCGGACAUAUCGAGUGCAUAGAGGAGGUCUGUAUCUAUAAUUCUUAAAAUAAUUGUUAUGCUUUUUGUGAACGUUUAUCGUGAGUAAUUUAGUAAAGAAGGAUAAGAAAUCGUCAGACAGGCAACAGAAGGAUAAGAAAUCGUCAGACAGGGCACUUCCUGUAUUGAAUCUUCUCAGGUUUUGGCCUGCUAUAUGAGUUCUGUUAUACUCACAGACACCAUUCAAACAGUUUUAGAAACUUUAGAGUGUUUUCUAUCCAAAUCUACUAAUUAUAUGCAUAUUCUCGUUUCUGGGCAAGAGUAGUAACCAGUUUAAAUCGGGUAUGUUUUUUAUCCGGCCGUGCAAAUACUGCCCCCUAGCCCCAACAGGUUUUAAUCUGGAUGGUCUCCCUUUGUUCAAAAGUACCAAUAUGUCAUUAUGGCCACUUUUGUGCUCCAUCAAUCUAUCACCACCCACAGUGUUUCCUCUGUUACUUGCAAUGGCAUCAUCGAAACCAAGCUCCCAGGAAUUCCUCAAUGACACUUUGCUGGAGCUUAAAGAGUUGAUGCAGACCGGCUUGAAGUGGGGAGACACAACACUGCAAGUGAAAGUUUGUUCUGUAACAUAUAAUGCACCUGCAAAAGCCAUGGUAAAAUGCAUAAAGAUGUAUUCUGGCUACUAUGGCUGUGACAGGUGCACACAAAAAGGCAGGUAUGAUUGGAGGAUGAUGUACCCGCAGGUAAAAAACAUGUGUCCCAGAACUGACAAAUCCUUUAGGGAAUUGGUACAGCCAGAACAUCACCUUGAAGGGAAAACCUCUCCUUUUUGCAUCCUCCCCAUUGAUAUGGUGAAGUCAUUCCCAAUUGACUAUAUGCACCUUUGUUGCCUCGGAGUAACCCGGAAGCUCUUGAUGAUGUGGACUAGGGGAAAGACUGGGGCCAGGUUGGCGUUGGUGCAAGUCAAGGAGGUAAGUCAACAACUAAACCGACUAAAGGAUUCAAUUCCAGACUGCUUUGCUCGCUAACCACGGGGAUUGGAUGACCUUGACCGUUGGAAGGCCACAGAAUUCAGACAGUUUCUACUCUAUACUGGGAAAGUAGUGCUGAGAAGAAUCUUGUCUAAAGAACAGUACACACACUUCAUGGCCUUCAGUGUUGCCAUGUGCAUUUUGGUUUCUCCUCAACUUUCUUCAAUCCACAGUGCCUAUGCUCAUGCUUUACUGAACUUCUUUGUGGAGCAGGGAAGGGUUUUGUAUGGUGACACAUUUCUCGUGUAUAAUGUUCACUCCUUCUACACCUCACUGCUGAUGCUGAAGAACAUGGCUGCCUUGACAACUGUAGUGCUUUCAAGUUUGAGAACUACUUGCAACAACUAAAGAAGAUGAUCCGUUCAGGGAGGCGGCCACUUGUGCAAAUUUGUAAAAGAGUGCAAGAACGCACCGUUAGAGCUUCUCCCCGCCAACAGGUCAUCAAAAUGAGACGGCCAAACGAUGCCUACAUACUUAAUGAUAGGUCAUGCUGUGAGGUAGUGAGCCAACAAGAUGCCUCAGAUACUUACCUCUGCAGGGUGUUUCAGCAUCUGGAAUCUUGCACGCUGAGUCCUUGUGACUCAAGACUGUAUUGGACUUUCCUCACCACUACGAGGAGCACACAAAUGCAUCUCAUUGCAAAGAGCAGUCUUGUUAAGCAAGCUAUUAUACUUGAGGAGGACCAUGGCACUCGUGUUGUGCUUACCAUCUUGCACAGCCUGUAGCAAGCCCCAUUUAGCUACAGCCAAGUUCACAAGCUGGAUUAGUUUUGCAAACUAUCUUGGCUGGUAAAUCAAGAGACUGAACAGUGUGGAAUUGGUGUUUUGCUUUUCUACACAGGGCACACAGUGUUAUUAUGUUGUACAUUUUGUAAAAGAGAACACUGUUGAAGUUGUACCAGAGCAGUGGGUGGAGAAGAGAGAUGGGGUGAGUUGAUCAGUUAAAUGGUUUACCCUUUUCAGGCAAAGGGAUGGAUAAAUAGUUCACUUUAAACAGUGUCUCAUAUCUUGCAGGUCCUGUGUUGCUACUGGCCAAGAAAUGCCAGCGCAACAAUGAUUAAGAGAUGAGACCGGCCUGACAAAAUAUUAUGGGAGAAGUACAGAAUUUCCAUCUUUUCAUCCACUGGUAAAAUAAUAUUUUACUGUAUCCAUCCACUCCCGUUUAUAUUGCAACGUAUGCUUGGUGGUGUGGCUCUGGAGCAGGUUGCAUCAGUUGAACAUACGUAAGGCUAGUUCCAACGUAGAAUAUGUUCUAAGCCAGGCGUAAACCUGUGUCACCACCGGGUUGUAAGUAAUAGCUUUUUCUACGCCAGGGUGUAAAAACGAAGUGUAAUGUGGAGUAGACGUAUAGUAUAAAUCUAUAACUAGUUUCCAAGGUAAGUGUUUCAUGACUAGUCAUUUCGCGUCUUGUUCAAUUUUCUAAAUCAUUAUGUCGGGCGUAGGUAGGCCCAACUUAUCUCUUACACCUUAUUUGCGUCAAACUGGUGCAACACACUCCUGGUCAGUAGAGUCAGGAACUUCCCCCCCUUAAGUACCAUAUGUAUUUGCUGAAAGUAUUACUAUGUGAAUUACAAAUACUCAAUACCCUGUUUUGCCAGCGUUAAUAGGAAAGUAUUUAUGACUAUGUUUAUUGCACGUACAGACAAUUACUCUGUGGCAGAGCAAUGAGCCAAAUGGGGGGUUGACACCUCCAAUGUUGAAUCUGACGAGGAACCAGCGAAGAGGGCGGUGACUAAACCAAUCAGAUUCCGUGUGGAGGCACCUGAUGAUGAUGGAAGUGAAGCACUCCAGAAAAAGACAAAUGAACCCAGAUAAGCACAGCUUCCAGUUCCCCAGCUUCCACCAGCCCCUAGUGCAACUUCAAGAUCCAGUGUCUUUGAAAAGACCCUACAAGUUGCAGAUGCCGAGGACUUGAGGCCAUGUGCCACCUCAAGCCAGAGCGACAGUAAGUGUCUGGUUGUAGUUUGUUAGGGUAAACAAUUUAAUUGUAUGAAGUAUUAUAGCUUUACAAACCUUUCAAAGCCACUCAAUAGAAUACAAUUACCAUCACAUUUUUGCAUAUUAGGUUAUUUCAAGUCUUAUUUCUACUUUGUGCAUACUGUUAGAACUUUCCAAAUACUUGUGGUGCUGUGUAUGGGUGAAACUUGUAUUUACAACAGUAGUGAAAUCACCAUAUUCUUCUUGGGUAAAACACAAGUGUGAUGCCAUGUUUGUAAAUAUCUGUAUGCAUUUGCCAUCAAACUAAAAGCAUUAUUUAAAACAAAAAAAUAUGCUUAGCAUUUAUUUUUGUUGGGAUUCAUUAACCUUCCCACUGAGCUCCUGACUGACAUCCCUUCACUCUUGGUUCUGUGCCAGUUUCAAAAGCAUGCAAAGUAUGUCUUCAUUUUUUCCUUCUGUUUUCUCAGUUAGUCCAAGUGGCAGCCAGGAAGAAGCUGGCCAAGACACAGCAUCAGAAUCAGGUUUCUUUAGCCAUCAAGAUAUUGAUCUCGAAGUCGUAAAUGUAGAAAGUUUAAAUAACAGCAUGAUUUUUUACUUAUAUUUUAGACCAAGAGCUGCCAUCCCUGCUUGAUGAGCCUAUGGCUUCUGAGAUGCAUGCUGGAUACAUUAAAGAUCUUCAAGCAGUGGAGAUGAGGAUAAUGGUGAAACUGGAGAUGAUCCGUACAGAGUUCAAGACUGUUCUGAACCAAGUUCUGGAGGCCAUAGAGGCCCGGCAGCCAAAGGAGUCGGAAUCCUUGGGGCAACUUGAAAUGCUGCAAAACCCUGCAGAAACAAAUGAGGAACUGAAGGAUAUCUGUGAAACACAAAGACUCCCACUAUCGAAAGAAAAUGAUCCGAUACCUGACCCUCUGCUGUGGCCUGGACCUGGGCUCAGGAAUCAGACGAAUGAUGAGAAAAAUUGGAACAGAGGAGCUGUGGACAGGCUACUCCUUGAAGGGCAGGAAGGGGAAGAGGGCCUUUAAUGAGCUAUCAAUCUAUGAUGCUGUCACAAGAGCAUCCCUGAAAGCACACCCCAAGGCUACCUACCAAGAGGUAGAUGACAAAAUAGCAGACGCUCUCAAACAUGCACCAGCUCGGCUCAAGAGUAAGAGAAAGUCCUUUAGGUGCCUUUUGGCAAACUCCAAGUGGGCUGUCAUGUGCCUUUUACUGAGGAGUGGCUUCGUCUGGCCACUCUGCCAUAAAGGCCUGAUUUGUGGAGUGCUGCAGAGAUGGUUGACCAUCUGGAAGGUUCUCCUAUCUCCACAGAGAAACUCUGGAGCUCUGUCAGAGUGACCAUCGGGUUCUUGGUCACCUGCGUGACCAAGGCCCUUCUCACCCGAUUGUUCAGUUUGGCCGGUUGGCCAGCUCUUGGAAGAGUCUUGGUGGUUUCAAACUUCUUCCAUUUAAGAAUGAUGGAGGGCACUGUGUUCUAAAUGACGAUCAAUGGAAACAGGAUGCACCUGAGAUCAAUUUCGAGACUCAAAACAAAGGGUCA
RNAcentral lists this long non-coding RNA (4477 nucleotides) under Salmo salar (Atlantic salmon). RNAcentral describes it as "lncRNA (ENSSSAG00000092565.1)". Lineage: Eukaryota; Metazoa; Chordata; Actinopteri; Salmoniformes; Salmonidae. The record is from RNAcentral.